ACGAACGCUGGCGGCGUGCUUAACACAUGCCAGUCGAACGGAAAGGCCCUGCUUUUGUGGGGUGCUCGAGUGGCGAACGGGUGAGUAACACGUGAGUAACCUGCCCUUGACUUUGGGAUAACUUCAGGAAACUGGGGCUAAUACCGGAUAGGAGCUCCUGCUGCAUGGUGGGGGUUGGAAAGUUUCGGCGGUUGGGGAUGGACUCGCGGCUUAUCAGCUUGUUGGUGGGGUAGUGGCUUACCAAGGCUUUGACGGGUAGCCGGCCUGAGAGGGUGACCGGCCACAUUGGGACUGAGAUACGGCCCAGACUCCUACGGGAGGCAGCAGUGGGGAAUAUUGCACAAUGGGCGGAAGCCUGAUGCAGCAACGCCGCGUGCGGGAUGACGGCCUUCGGGUUGUAAACCGCUUUCGCCUGUGACGAAGCGUGAGUGACGGUAAGGGGUAAAGAAGCACCGGCUAACUACGUGC
RNAcentral lists this ribosomal RNA (468 nucleotides) under uncultured bacterium. RNAcentral describes it as "partial 16S ribosomal RNA". It matches the Rfam family "Bacterial small subunit ribosomal RNA", at positions 29 to 508 of the family's 1533-position model. The record is from RNAcentral.